RNAcentral lists this ribosomal RNA (495 nucleotides) under uncultured bacterium. RNAcentral's name for it is "partial 16S ribosomal RNA". It matches the Rfam family "Bacterial small subunit ribosomal RNA", at positions 28 to 507 of the family's 1533-position model. The record is from RNAcentral.
GACGAACGCUGGCGGCGUGCCUAAUACAUGCAAGUAGAACGCUGAAGGAGGAGCUUGCUUCUCUGGAUGAGUUGCGCACGGGUGAGUAACGCGUAGGUAACCUGCCUGGUAGCGGGGGAUAACUCUUGGAAACGAUAGCUAGAACCGCAUAAUAGUAGAUGUUGCAUGACAUUUGCCUAAAAGGUGCAAUUGCAUCACUACCAGAUGGACCUGCGUUGUAUUAGCUAGUUGGUGGGGUAACGGCUCACCAAGGCGACGAUACAUAGCCGACCUGGGAGGGGGGUCGGGCACACUGGGACCGGGACACGGCCCAAACUCCUACGGGAGGCAGCAGGAGGGGAUCUUCGGGAAUGGACGGAAGUCCGACCGAGCAACGCCGCGUGAGGGAAGAAAGUUCUCGGAUCGUAAAGCUCUUUUGUAAGAGAAGAAAGAGAGGGGGAGUGGAAAGUGCACACUGUGACGGUAUCUUACCAGAAAGCGACGGCUAACUACGUG